This is a long non-coding RNA of Glycine soja, 212 nucleotides long. RefSeq lists it as uncharacterized. The transcript has 3 exons. NCBI's taxonomy places the organism in Eukaryota, Viridiplantae, Streptophyta, Magnoliopsida, Fabales, Fabaceae. The record is from RefSeq and is a predicted model, not a curated record.
AAAUAGAUAAAUUCUUCUUCCUCCAUGCUUUCUUUCAAAGGGAGUCCAUACUGGAUGGCACCCGAGGUUGUAAUGAAUACAAAUGGCUAUAGUCUUCCUGUUGAUAUAUGGAGUUUGGGAUGCACAAUUCUUGAAAUGGCAACAUCAAAGCCUCCUUGGAAUCAGUAUGAAGGGGUAGCUGCAAUAUUUAAAAUUGGUAACAACAGAGAUAU